ACACGACUACAUUAGAUACCCCUGUAGUCCUAGCCGUAAACGAUACUCGCUAGGUGUCGGCCACGGUGCGACCGUUGUCGGUGCCGUAGGGAAGCCGUGAAGCGAGCCACCUGGGAAGUACGGCCGCAAGGCUGAAACUUAAAGGAAUUGGCGGGGGAGCACCGCAACGGGAGGAGCGUGCGGUUCAAUUGGAUUCAACGCCGGACAACUCACCAGGAGCGACGGUUACAUGAAGGCCAGGCUGAUGACCUUGCCUGAUUUUCCG
This 265-nucleotide ribosomal RNA is filed under the name uncultured archaeon. RNAcentral describes it as "partial 16S ribosomal RNA". It matches the Rfam family "Archaeal small subunit ribosomal RNA", at positions 717 to 982 of the family's 1478-position model. The record is from RNAcentral.